Molecule: non-coding RNA, 736 nt
Organism: Danio rerio (zebrafish)
Lineage: Eukaryota; Metazoa; Chordata; Actinopteri; Cypriniformes; Danionidae
Source: RefSeq, a predicted model, not a curated record
ACGCAGAGAUGGACAGCGAUUCGGAAAGCAGCAUUUACAGUGGAUUUGACAGCUAUGUGGAGGCGGAGGAUUUCUCUCCACCAGAUUCCCCGCAGUCACAUCCGGUUGAAGACAGUACAGGUCCACUGCCUUAUCAGUUUGAACCUUUGAACACAAACACACCAGUGAAUGCAGAAGAAAGUGAAGAUUCUCCUAACGACUCGAAUAUUGAAGUCUCGCAAUGGGAGUUAUUAUUUCCAGCUGUAUUUGUUGAAAUAAACAAACAAAUACACAAUUUUGGAUGCCACAAAAACUGCACUGCAUCAGAAAACUGAGUUGUUGUCAUCUUAACAGGUGUUGUGAUAACUGCUCCAGACUCCGUCCAGAGGAAAAUGUAUGCUGUAGAGACAUACCAGAGGUGCACAGACAUGGCCAGUUUAUCAGCGUAUGUUGCAUAACAAAUCACCCAGGAUUUGAGCCUGUCGCUCUUAACCCGUACGUCCUGCAGAUAGCUUAUGCCCCAUAUCGACAGUUGUAUGGGAAGAUGUCAAAUGCAGCUCACAACAGUUGUUACAAACAUCUGGCAUAUAGAAAUUUUGUCUGGUGGUGCUGGAGAUAUCUGGGGAGACAGAUCAGAGUGGUGAUACCCUCAUGUGCAGUUGGAAGAAUAAGACAGGAAUUCCCAGAAGAGAAUGUAAACUACACUGGUUUUUUACCCCGUCCACUUUAGUAUAAACCAACUGUAAUGUCUCAAGUG